RNAcentral lists this ribosomal RNA (481 nucleotides) under uncultured bacterium. RNAcentral describes it as "partial 16S ribosomal RNA". It matches the Rfam family "Bacterial small subunit ribosomal RNA", at positions 28 to 507 of the family's 1533-position model. The record is from RNAcentral.
GAUGAACGCUGGCGGCGUGCCUAACACAUGCAAGUCGAACGGAGAUUACGGACGGAAGUUUUCGGAUGGAAGCCUGUAAUUCUUAGUGGCGGACGGGUGAGUAACGCGUGGGCAACCUGCCCUAUACAGGGGGAUAGCAGCUGGAAACGGCUGGUAAGACCGCAUAAGUCGGUUAAAUCGCAUGAUUUGAUCGGGAAAUGAGCAAUCAGGUAUAGGAUGGGCCCGCGUCCGAUUAGCCAGUUGGCAGGGUAAAAGCCUACCAAAGCGACGAUCGGUAGCCGGACUGAGAGGUCGGACGGCCACAUUGGGACUGAGACACGGCCCAAACUCCUACGGGAGGCAGCAGUGAGGGAUAUUGCACAAUGGAGGAAACUCUGAUGCAGCGACGCCGCGUGAGUGAAGAAGUAUUUCGGUAUGUAAAGCUCUAUCAGCAGGGAAGAUGAUGACGGUACCUGACGAAGAAGCCCCGGCUAACUACGUG